UACGGAGGGAGCUAGCGUUAUUCGGAAUUACUGGGCGUAAAGCGCACGUAGGCGGCUUUGUAAGUUAGAGGUGAAAGCCUGGAGCUCAACUCCAGAAUUGCCUUUGAUACUGCAUGGCUUGAAUCCAGGAGAGGUGAGUGGAAUUCCGAGUGUAGAGGUGAAAUUCGUAGAUAUUCGGAAGAACACCAGUGGCGAAGGCGACUAACUGGACAUGUAUUGACGCUGAGGUGCGAAAGCGUGGGGGGCAAACAGG
RNAcentral lists this ribosomal RNA (253 nucleotides) under uncultured bacterium. Its description in RNAcentral is "partial 16S ribosomal RNA". It matches the Rfam family "Bacterial small subunit ribosomal RNA", at positions 524 to 776 of the family's 1533-position model. The record is from RNAcentral.